CAGAGGUGGCAAGCGUUGUUCGGAUUUAUUGGGCGUAAAGGGUUCGUAGGCGGAUCGGAAAGUCAGAUGUGAAAUCCCACAGCUCAACUGUGGAACUGCAUUUGAAACUUCCGGACUAGAGUGUGAGAGGGGUAAAGGGAAUUCCCGGUGUAAGGGUGAAAUCUGCAGAGAUCGGGAGGAACACCAGUCGCGAAGGCGCUUUACUGGCUCACUACUGACGCUCAGGAACGAAAGCUAGGGUAGCAAACGGGAUUAGAUACCCCGGUAGUCCUAGCCGUAAACUAUGGUCACUAGGUGUUGGGAGGGUUAAACCUUUCAGUGCCGUCGCUCACGCAUUAAGUGACCCGCCUGGGGAGUACGGUCGCGAGGCUG
Molecule: ribosomal RNA, 372 nt
Filed under: uncultured organism
Description: bacterial SSU rRNA
Rfam family: Bacterial small subunit ribosomal RNA
Source: RNAcentral